RNAcentral lists this ribosomal RNA (800 nucleotides) under uncultured bacterium. Its description in RNAcentral is "bacterial SSU rRNA". It matches the Rfam family "Bacterial small subunit ribosomal RNA", at positions 8 to 797 of the family's 1533-position model. The record is from RNAcentral.
AGAGUUUGAUCAUGGCUCAGAUUGAACGCUGGCGGCAGGCCUAACACAUGCAAGUCGAACGGUAACAGAAAGCAGCUUGCUGCUUUGCUGACGAGUGGCGGACGGGUGAGUAAUGUCUGGGAAACUGCCCGAUGGAGGGGGAUAACUACUGGAAACGGUAGCUAAUACCGCAUAACGUCGCAAGACCAAAGAGGGGGACCUUCGGGCCUCUUGCCAUCGGAUGUGCCCAGAUGGGAUUAGCUAGUAGGUGGGGUAAAGGCUCACCUAGGCGACGAUCCCUAGCUGGUCUGAGAGGAUGACCAGCCACACUGGAACUGAGACACGGUCCAGACUCCUACGGGAGGCAGCAGUGGGGAAUAUUGCACAAUGGGCGCAAGCCUGAUGCAGCCAUGCCGCGUGUAUGAAGAAGGCCUUCGGGUUGUAAAGUACUUUCAGCGGGGAGGAAGGGAGUAAAGUUAAUACCUUUGCUCAUUGACGUUACCCGCAGAAGAAGCACCGGCUAACUCCGUGCCAGCAGCCGCGGUAAUACGGAGGGUGCAAGCGUUAAUCGGAAUUACUGGGCGUAAAGCGCACGCAGGCGGUUUGUUAAGUCAGAUGUGAAAUCCCCGGGCUCAACCUGGGAACUGCAUCUGAUACUGGCAAGCUUGAGUCUCGUAGAGGGGGGUAGAAUUCCAGGUGUAGCGGUGAAAUGCGUAGAGAUCUGGAGGAAUACCGGUGGCGAAGGCGGCCCCCUGGACGAAGACUGACGCUCAGGUGCGAAAGCGUGGGGAACAAACAGGAUUAGAUACCCUGGUAGUCCA